RNAcentral lists this ribosomal RNA (366 nucleotides) under uncultured eukaryote. Its description in RNAcentral is "partial 18S ribosomal RNA". It matches the Rfam family "Eukaryotic small subunit ribosomal RNA", at positions 592 to 976 of the family's 1831-position model. The record is from RNAcentral.
CAAUAGCGUAUAUUAAAGUUGUUGCAGUUAAAAAGCUCGUAGUUGAAUUUCUGGUGGGCGCGCCGGUCUUCCAAGUGUUGUACUGGGCGCAGUCCGCCAUCCUUGUGGAGAGGGCUCGCAUUGAGUUGCGUGUCGGAUCUGCAUCAUUUACUGUGAAAAAAUUAGAGUGUUUAAAGCAGGCUGUCGCUUGAAUACAUUAGCAUGGAAUAAUAAGAUAGGACUUCGGUCUAUUUUGUUGGUUGCGAACCGAGGUAAUGAUUAAUAGGGAUAGUUGGGGGUAUUCAUAUUUAAUUGUCAGAGGUGAAAUUCUUGGAUUUAUGAAAGAUGAACAACUACGAAAGCAUUUACCAAGGAUGUUUUCAUUAA